Molecule: ribosomal RNA, 338 nt
Filed under: uncultured eukaryote
Lineage: Eukaryota
Description: partial small subunit ribosomal RNA
Rfam family: Eukaryotic small subunit ribosomal RNA
Source: RNAcentral
AGCUCCAAUAGCGUAUAUUAAUGUUGUUGCAGUUAAAAAGCUCGUAGUUGAAUGUCCGGCAAUUUAUUGCCUUUCUGUGAGGUUUAAAGAUACCGUAAAAAGUUUCUUUCUACUAAGCAGACUAUUACUGUGAACAAAUUAAAGUGCUUAAAGCAGGCUUGUGCUUGUAUAUUUUAGCAUGGAAUAAUAAAAUAUGACUUUUUUCAUUUUAUUGGUUAUUGGAAGAAGUAAUGAUUAACAGAAACAGUUGGGGGCAUUCGUAUUCAAUAGUUAGAGGUGGAAUUUUUUUAUUUAUUGAGGACGAACUAGUGCGAAAGCAUUUGCCAAGGAUGUUUUCA